CUGUAGCAUGCAUGUGUAUUACUGCUCAUUCUCUGCCUUCUGAUUCUUUUUUUCCCCUCUAUUUCUGCAGGACUGGCAGAUAUCUAUAGGAAUACAGCUAGGAAAUUAAAUGUGCUCAGGCAUGAGCUGGUGCUGUUUCUAAUGUUAAACUGUCAUAUAGGGGCUACAUCCUGAGUAGGGAGGCUCAUCCAGUUGCAAGCUUAGACUUCUGUUUUCCCCUGGAACUUCUGUUUCAUGAGGAAUGGAUUUAAUCUUCAUUUUGUUCCUGCUUUUACACCUGCCUAGUUGUGGUGGAACACAUCACCCUCAGCUCAGCAGGGUCUCCAGGAGCCCUCCUGCUAAGUGCCUGCCAGAGACAGAGCCAAAGUCAGUGGCCCUCCAUAAACUGACCUGAUGAGGAUAUGAACAAAUUACUGACACUGCUGGUCACACAACAGCCCCUGAAUGUGACAGUGUGGUCAUUGGUGUGGCACGCAUCAGAGCACAGACUGAACAAUGCCACCUGUGAUCAUCCCAGCAGACUCAAAAGCAAAGGCUGUCCUAAGAAUUACUGCCUCAAGACGUGGCUGUGACUGGUUUCAGUCCACGGGCUGAAGACUCAGUUCUCCAA
Molecule: long non-coding RNA, 610 nt
Filed under: Phasianus colchicus (ring-necked pheasant)
Lineage: Eukaryota; Metazoa; Chordata; Aves; Galliformes; Phasianidae
Description: lncRNA (ENSPCLG00000012022.1)
Source: RNAcentral